Molecule: ribosomal RNA, 253 nt
Filed under: uncultured bacterium
Lineage: Bacteria
Description: partial 16S ribosomal RNA
Rfam family: Bacterial small subunit ribosomal RNA
Source: RNAcentral
GACGAACCGUACGAACGUUAUUCGGAAUCAUUGGGCUUAAAGGGUGCGUAGGCUGCGCGGAAAGUUGGGUGUGAAAUCCCUCGGCUCAACCGAGGAAUUGCGCCCAAAACUACCGUGCUUGAGGGAGACAGAGGUGAGCGGAACUUAGGGUGGAGCGGUGAAAUGCGUUGAUAUCCUAAGGAACACCAGUGGCGAAAGCGGCUCACUGGGUCUCUUCUGACGCUGAGGCACGAAAGCUAGGGGAGUAAACGGG